CACCUGUUUAUCAAAAACAUGGUUUUUAGAUUAUGAUUUAAAAUUGGUCCUGCUCAAUGAUAAAAUUAAAUAGCUGCAGUAAAUUGACUGUACAAAGGUAGCAUAAUCAAUUGCUUUUUAAAUGAAAGCUGGGAUGAAGGGAUUGAUGAAAUUUGAACUGUUUCAGAAUUAAAUAUUGAAUUUAUUGGUUAAGUAAAAAUUCUUAAAUAAAUUUAAGGGACGAGAAGACCCUAUAGAAUUUUAUAUAGAUUAAUUUUGUUUAAAAAAAUGAUGUUAAUUUAUAUUUAGUUGGGAGGAUUGUUAAAUUAAGGAAACUUUAAUUAUAAGAUAAUAUUGAUGAGUGAUUUAAAGAAUGAUUAAUUAAAAUAAGUAAGAAUUAAUUACCUUAGGGAUAACAGCGUUAUAUUUUUGGAGAGUUCAUAUUAAUAAAAAUGUUUGCGACCUCGAUGUUGAAUUAAGAUAAAAAUUAGGUGUAGAAGUUUAAUAUUUAAGUCUGU
Molecule: ribosomal RNA, 497 nt
Filed under: Cardiocondyla minutior
Lineage: Eukaryota; Metazoa; Arthropoda; Insecta; Hymenoptera; Formicidae
Description: partial 16S large subunit ribosomal RNA
Rfam family: Archaeal large subunit ribosomal RNA (bases 1-166)
Source: RNAcentral